AUAUUUACUACUUUAACUACUACAUUACAAAGGGUGCCUUCAACUUCAUGGACAAAAGCCCUCUCACCAAUUUGACAAGAAUUCCUUCUUCUUUAAUUUUAUGUUAUUUCUUUGCGUUAGGUUGAACUGUCUUUCCCUCCAUGAAUUGCAAUGAGUAGGAGCCCUUCAUCAAUGGGAAAAGGUGCUCCUCAGUAAUUAACAAAGCCACUCACUCAAUGGGCUGAAAGUUAAAUAACAUUUUCACCAUACUCCUAUUAUAGUAUUAAUCUCCUCAAUCCCAAUCUAAUUAGAAAUUCCACUAAAUUAAGAUAUAACACUAAUAGGAGUUUUACCCUAUAUAGGAAAUAUUCCUCCAUACUAUUGAGGAAUAUUUCUUCAACUCAAAUUAG
RNAcentral lists this unclassified non-coding RNA (389 nucleotides) under Hevea brasiliensis (rubber tree). The record is from RNAcentral. Lineage: Eukaryota; Viridiplantae; Streptophyta; Magnoliopsida; Malpighiales; Euphorbiaceae.